GAAUUACUAUGUAAAUUUCACGACAUUGGCUAAUAGAGUAUAAGGUAUUAUUGUUGAAGCCUAGUUAAAUUGCUUUGUUGGGGGACUCAAACCUGAUAUCAGACGAGAUGUUAUUGCUCAAACUAUAUGAGGAGAAAUAUAUACCCACACCCAAACCUACCACAACACCUUUAGCCGACACAAGCCACUAACCCAAACCUCUUUCAAUCCCUCAAAACUACCAGUUUACCACCACUACUUCCCAACCCUACCAAUACCACACCCAUAAAAAAAAUGACAUCUACAAAAAUGAAACUUCGAAGGGAAAAAAGACUUUGUUUUACAUGUGAUGACAAGUUCACUCCCUUACAUAGAUGUCCAAAUAAGCAAUAUCUGAUAUUGCAAGUUGAAGAGAGGAA
RNAcentral lists this long non-coding RNA (398 nucleotides) under Vigna radiata. Its description in RNAcentral is "long non-coding RNA (VRAD_LNC005007)". Lineage: Eukaryota; Viridiplantae; Streptophyta; Magnoliopsida; Fabales; Fabaceae. The record is from RNAcentral.